Molecule: long non-coding RNA, 2914 nt
Organism: Anopheles gambiae (African malaria mosquito)
Lineage: Eukaryota; Metazoa; Arthropoda; Insecta; Diptera; Culicidae
Exons: 3
Source: RefSeq, a predicted model, not a curated record
UUUCAUAAAAUUGGUACGAAAUACUUUGUUGAACUUCAAUAAAAACUACAGGCCAUCAGAGUUUGUUAUUUUAAAAGCUAAAAUCAUUGUGUCGAAAUCACCCCCAAGGUGUCGAUUACACCCCAUCAUGGUGACUAUCGUACUGCACUACAGUCGUGACGCAACAAAAAACACAUUCUUUUAUUUUUAUCAAAAUGUUAUCAAAAUCAAUCCAGGAACCGUAGUUUCUCGUAAGAAAGUACAUAAUACAUCAAAAAAGCUUUUUCGAUGUCUACUAGUAAGUUUACAUAGGCAAAAGUAUUGCAAUCAGGGGAAAACCUUAAGGUGUCGAAGUUCCCCAGUUCCCCUAAGGCAGCCUAGGUAACCACUGACAUACGUCGAGGUCGGCUAAAGUCUGGUGAGACUAUAAGGUAAGGUCGUAAAGUGGUGAGACUAUCAGGCCUAUUAUUUUACUCGAAUGACAUUCGAUUCCGUCGGAAGCACUCGAGUCGAGCGGGAGAAAAAUUGGUAUCGUGUUCGCCAUUCGAAUCGAUGAAGGUUUCGUCGACAUUUUUGUUCUAGCAUCUGUGUGUUUGACAGUUGGUCGAAGCAACCGGCGGUCGGAGUGAGUGUAAACAAACGGAUUCAGCACUUCUUUAAAAUCAUUUUUUACCAUAAUUUUGUUGGAAAUGGUGUAAAUAUGAGUGAUGAGUGACAUGAUUACACACAUAGACAGUGACUUAAAUUAUUUGUGAGUUUAAAUUAGCGCGUUUCCGACAGCUUGAGCUGUCGACAGCUUGAGAAAAUCUCUCGAAUGCACCUUCCUGAUCGAGCAAUACGGUACCGAUUUUUACUUCGUCGACUCGAAUCUACCGAUGAGUUACUCGAAAUGGAACGUCGCUAGCAAAACGAUACGAAAAUGAAAAAAAUGAACGUGCGAGUGAAUCUUCUCGAAUGCCGAACGCAAUAUAAUAGGCCUGAAUAAGGUCUGUUGUGAGACUGUAAUGUGAGUCGAACGGAAAAGAGUCAAACAAACCCAUUCCAAACAAACGGAAAUUUUAAUGGUAAUAUAUAGACUUGUUAGAGACUUCAUAAGCUUCGUUGAAUAUAUCAGAGCGUGUAUUUAGCGCUAUACAAAUUUAGCUCUAGAUAAGUUGAAAUUUGUAUAGAUUUCGAUUAGAUUAAUUUCGAUCCCAUCUCAAUUAUAUCCUGAAUCCCUAUAAAUAUUUAUUUCGUUAAUCCAGGACAUUUCUGUCAAAGGUGUUGGUAUAAAUUUGUUUAACAGGCGUGGUCUAUUCUGAACUCGAUUCGAUUCGAAUCGAGAAAAUGAACACCUAAGUGAACUUUUCCAAAAAAUUUACACACAAAGUUCAUCAACUCGACGUCGAGAAGACUCGAUUAUAAGAAUAGAAUACGCCUGUUUAUUAAUAUAAAACCGAUAAGCAAUACGGCAAAUCCGUCCCUCUUUAAUAAAAAAAAAUAAAACCGAUUCUACACACAGGGCAGUACGUGAAAUCGCCUCUAUUUGAUUUUUUUAGGUCUAGGAUGAACUAGGUUUAAAAAUUGUGUUAAGAUAGGAUAUUAAGGUUAAGGUAAAACUCUCGCUUCUAUUAAUAGAACAAGCUACAACAGUGUAUCAGAAUAUAACAAGAAAGUGAAGCCCCAAAAUAGGAUGUAUAAGAAAAAUAACCUGUAAAGCAUACGUGCUACAUCUUGUAAAACUUGGAAAAUCAACUAUAAAGGAAAUAAAAGUACAAAUAUACGUUUAACGUUUAACUAACUAAAUCCGUAAAACAGGAAACUUUCCGUCACUCUGAUCUGACCUCAUGUCCACAAACUGCCUUCGCUCACUAUUCCUAUCCCAUUUCUACAUUCCACAACGUCUGUCGCUCAUCAGGGUGUUAGUAAAUUCUCACUUGCCACACGAAGAGAUUUCUCCUGCUCACUUCGUGUGUUUGAUUCUACCCAUCUCUGUUGAACACAAGUCAUUUUCAUCCAUCGCACUCAUCAGGGUGUUUGCUCUUUUCCAUCCAAGCUAAAGAGCGACUUCAGUGUGCUCUGAACCGUGGACGUGAGAGUGUGUGUUUGUGUGCUGCGUGAACUAUUUUUCCUGCGAAAAAAACUUUCUAGCACUUCACCAUCGGCAGUAUUCUAUCUGCUUCAUCGGAGGACGCAUUUUUAUCAUCUAAUUGUUUCGAUGUGUACUGCUACCGCUAGCUGUCCCCCACUCUCUUCAGAAGUGAAACGCUACUGGCAUCGCGAAAGAAAUGGUUUAAAAUUAACAGUCGUUAAAAAUUCACCAAUGUAGUUAAAAAUUGCUGGAUUUUAGCAUCGCGAACGCAUUGAGUUCAUUUGUUAAUUUUAACGACUGGUCCUAUGCCGUCGUUAUACAAACGACUGUCAAGAGCGAAUGCGAUACAAAUUAACAGUCGUUUAAUUAUACUGCUCGAUUUUUUUUCCCCGUGUUUGCCUAUAUGCGAUAUCGAGCAGUCGUUAACUGUUUUGACGAUCGUUUAUUUUAACAGGAAUGAACAACAAAUGAACUCAGUUAAACUAAAAUGAACUAUAAACAACUGUUAAAAAGAGUUCAUUUAUUCGCGAUGCCGGCUACUGUGUGCACAAGCGUUCAAAGUCGUUGAAUAAUUGAUCCUCAAGCACAAAGCCUUCAUACAACACUGCGGUCGAGGCGCGCCAAAUCUCAUGACAUCUUCCCUGAACCAAGCAGGCUGAACACGCGCACCACCAAACGGGUUACAGCGCGGUGUGAAGAAGGAGGAAGAAGAGAAGGCAGAACUGGAAACAUCCACGCCAAUUUACCAACCACCGUGUGUGUAUGUAAAUAUGUGAGAACACAUGUGUGAAUCCUCUUGUGUAAAAGCAAACUGCAAAAAGAAGAAAACAUCUAGUGUGAAGCAGCUAGGCUGCCGCAACCAAA